UGUGUCCAUCAACUGAGGGGAAAGUCGGAGGAGAGUCAGGCAGUCCUUGGCCCUCGCAACUUGGUACAGAAGAAGGUACAGGAGCUUCAGGAUCCUGCGCUGGCAUUUUGGGAGAUGUUUCUCCUCCUGGUGUAGCCAGUGUCAUUGUUGGCUACCCUCUGGACACAGUCAAGACUCGCCUGCAGGCUGGUGUCGGCUAUGCAAACACCUUCAACUGCAUCCGCAUGGUGUACAAGAGGGAGAGUGUUUUCGGCUUCUUCAAGGGCAUGUCCUUCCCCCUGGCCAGCGUUGCCAUCUAUAACUCGGUGGUGUUCGGGGUCUUCAGCAACACUCAGCGGUUCCUUAGCCAGUACCGCUGUAGGGAAUUGGAGGAUUGCCCUGGCCGAAGUCUGUCUGAUCUGCUCCUGGCUAGCAUGGUGACUGGUAUGGUCUCUGUUGGUCUGGGCGGGCCCGUGGACCUCAUCAAGAUCAGACUGCAGAUGCAAACACAGCCAUUUCAGGAAGCCAGCCACGGAUUGAAGUCCAGGGCAGUGGCAGCUUACCAGGGACCGGUGCACUGCUUUGCAACCAUUGUGCGGACAGAGGGCCUGACAGGACUGUACCGGGGAGCCAGCGCCAUGCUGUUAAGGGACAUCCCAGGAUAUUGCUUCUACUUUAUUCCCUAUGUGUUCCUAAGUGACUGGAUCACACCUGAGGCCUGCACGGGGCCCAGCCCCUACGGAGUGUGGCUGGCAGGAGGCAUUGCUGGGGCAAUUUCCUGGGGGACAGCAACACCGAUGGAUGUCGUGAAAAGCCGAAUCCAAGCUGAUGGGGUCUAUUUAAACAAAUACAGGGGAGUCCUGGACUGCAUCUCCCAGAGUUACCAGCAAGAAGGCUUUAAGGUCUUUUUCAGGGGCAUCACUGUGAAUGCUGUACGCGGCUUUCCCAUGAGUGCGGCCAUGUUCCUCGGGUACGAGCUCUCACUGAAGGCACUCCGUGGCGACCACACCGUAAGAAACAAAUGAGCGAUCAGGAAAACACAGAAACAACAGAAAGAGUAAAGCAAGAAUCCCUGUGUUCACCGUAAGGUCCAGCUGCAGCCUGAAACCCAGAGCUGGCUUUGUACAGGACAGCCACCGCCAUCCUGCCUAAUGGCCCAGAACCACGUCCACGUCCCGUGGUUAACUCUUCAGCUACAAAAUGGCUUUGGAACACAGACCUCAGAUCCCGGAGUGACUGGGCACUUGUCCUAGCUGUCGUACUAGGCCGCUCUUGGCCACUGGCUCUUUAAGGAGGCUGGGGGAAGUUACCAGAGAGCCAACUCGUGGCAUCUGAGAGCUGUAGCUGAGCCCGCCAGAACUUUGCUUUCUGAAUGUCUUUUCUCUUGCAAAGGGCUGGGAAACACGUCUCCUUAGGAAAAAAACCAAAAACAAACCAAAAAAAUCCCUCUAAGGGCAGUAAUGGGGUUGGGGAAUAGGAAGACGCUACCUCAGUUGGGAAGGAGUGACCCCAGCAGCAUUGUCUGGAACAAGGUGUUUAAUAUCCUGCUCUAACCAGGAGCCAUGGACCCCAGGUCCUCUAGCAAGCCUGGCUUUUAACUUACAAAGGUUUGGAGCAGGCCACAGUCUAUGUGGCAGAGUCACGAACUCUCUGAAGACGUGAACAACAAUGCCAGCCUUCUCAUCUGGUCCCCCAAAUGGAGGAGACAGUGUAUCUCAGAUAACCCUGGAACACUCACAGCAGGCCCUAAGAAAUGGUGGGAUGAGGACUGUCUCCAGAGGCCCAGGCACAAGGGUCAAUAAAAAUCCUUUCAGAAUAUAUGCCUAGCAUGGAGGGCACAGUUCCCUAGAGGUUUGGGGAGGCGGCACCUUCCUUCCCAUCUGCCCCUAGUUUUGUUUCCUUCUGUGGUACUCAUAGCAGAGAGGUGAAACUCAGUGAGAACCCUGUGGGGCGGUUAUUUUGUCAUGGGGAUGGCUUGAGGAAGAAGGUCGCAGUCACUCGUAAGCCGUCCUCAGGUUUCCUCGUGAGUCAUCAGCCCCUUCCCCUUCAGGAUCCUGGUACCAGAACCCUCCUAGAACAGAGCUGUUCUAUCCUCUGACCUGGUGUGUGUACUCCAGACCUGGGAGCCUACUUUCUGUUUACAAGGCGCUUCAUAACCAAAGAAAGGAGAUGCGUUCUUCCCGUGACACCUCGUUUGAGCAUUUACAAACAAUCCCAGACAGCCUUCCUGACCGACUGUGGCACAAGACCCAUCUCCAUGUGGGUGUGUCCAAGCCUAGAUCCUGCUGGCCACAACUCAAAAAGAGCAUUCUUUAUGCACCCUCUCUCCUCUCUGCGCCACCGUAAUCUGAGCAGGCCUCACCCCGCUGCAGGCUGCGAUUGCAGCGCCCGUAGAGCCAGCAAGGGUGCAUUACUGGAGAGUAGGAAGACCCAGCCGUCUCCGUCCGGUGCCAGGUGGGACACAGCCAUCAUCCCGAGCUUCGAGUCCCUUCCUUCAUGACUGCAGACUUUCUCUCCAGAGUCCAAGUGCUGGUGGGAAACAGCAGACCAUACAUGGGUCAGGCAGCCAUCAUCUCUUUCAGCUCUGGGUUAGAACCUGAGAAAGAGAGGCAAAAACAUUCUGUGCCCACGGAUGUUGGAAACCCAGCAUAGACUUGCACUCCUCAAUCAAAAGCACAGAAAAGUCCUUAGGGUUGUUUCUGUAUACGUAGCGCCCUACCUGACUUCUGAGAGACCUUGGUCACCCUCCUCUCUCUUCAGUUUAGGUCUUUGGAGAUGCUGCCAGAAGAAACCAGCUUAACUAAGAGGGGUGGGGAGGUUAGCAUGUGUCAUUUUCUUCGUGGUCCUCAAGUUGGGAAGGGAGGGUUCAGUGUCUGGAAAGAAACAUACAGGGGAGGAAAAUCCAAAGAUUUGCUCCCAAGCCUGAGCGGGUGAUGUGUUGGUGUCAUGCCUGAGCCGCAGAUGGCAGCCAGAGCUCACAGGGGCGGGUGUUCUGUGGGCGUGACUUCUACGUGGAAAUCCCAAUAAAAUGCAGUCUGCUUCCCAGUGUGACUUUGUGCUUCUACCUUACCACCUAUGGGAGCCACAUAGGAGAUAACCUUGCUCUUCCGUGGCGCGCGUCCAUGAUGUCACUUCCGGCUCUGCGCCUGCAGCAGCCACGCCUACUGCACCCCAGAGCCCUUCUCAGCACACUGCUGAAUGUGGCUUCAGAGUCCUGCCUCACAUUGUCACCUGCGCAGUCGCCACCAGCCAAGCAGAAAUGUGGUCCAGGGUGGUCUUAAACCCCAGUGAGGGAACUGUCUUCACAGCCAUGUAAAAAACAAACGUUUUAAGAUCUUCCUUGGUUUGCCCCAAACCAAGCACCAAAUCACAACUGCCCCCUAGAGGCCGACAUGACCAUUUUCAGUGUAGAUCACAGGUGCUUCCUCAGAAUGCUCUCCAAGCCCACCCUUCACAGCUCUUGAAGCUCAAAGUCCCUUGGCUAGAUCUGAGCCGAUGGGCUUGUGGUCACUUAGUGAUCACCUGUGUUGAGCCCCUGCUGUGUGCAGGCACCGACUCAAGGGAAGAGUGGAGGAGCUCCGGCAAAGCUUUCGUGCUAGUUUACUAGACUCCUUAACAGGAAGAGGCUGGCCCAACCCCCACUUCAGCAUCACGGGCAGGUACUGAGGGUCUUGGUGAGGUGCUGUGCUCCUGGUAUGUUACAGGAUGGACCCAGAGUGCCUCCUCUAUCCCAUCCCAGGAUGUGUCAAGCAGGCAUGCACUAGUGCCUGCCUAGGCUGCACAGUUGGGUUGAAGGAGUGGUAUUUUCAGAGGCCAAUCAGGAUCUCCCAUUGUGUACUCCUGGCUAGGCAGAGAGUUCACUCCUCUGUAGUGAAUGACUAAGGGGCAGUUGGAAGCCCUUCUGCUUGUCUGUGACAUCACGUGCUGUACAGUCCUUAGGAAAACCCGUGUGCUCAUGAGAAAACGAGAGUGGAGAGGAAGGUGGUAUCUUAGAGUCAUUGGAAGUUAGUUUUCAGUCUUGCCGGUCGCUUUGAGGACCGGAAACAUUAUUUCUCAAAAGCCUGUUUGGCUGAUAUGCCAUAGAAUUGCCACUUGGUGGCAGCAGAGUGUCAACUAAAUCCUGAGGGUGCCUGCUAGCUGGUGACUGUUCUGGGAGCGCUUGGGUCCUGGGCACUUCCCUCCCAAUCUUUGUUCUCGGUGCCCCAGGGUGUGGUCCUUCCCUUGGGUUUCAACCUCGGUGUCUAUCUGCAUGAUCUCGACACGUUCUGCUGCUUGGGCUUAAGUUCUCCUCGUCUGUAAAAAAAAACCACAGUCUUCCUCUCUGAUCCGGGGCUGUUAGCUUUUGUCUGGAGGUUGACAAAGGGUGGCUGGGUCUGUGUACCCUGGGCCCGGACCAUGUGAAACUCUGAGCAUCAUAACUGCUCCUUUGUGUCUUCAUAAGCAUGCUUUGGAAUGGGAUAGAUGCCGAUACUGAAUAGAUCUUCGCAUGCUCCGGACACAGGAUGGGCUAUUGGUCCGUGUUCUAACUCCCAGAAUCCUCUCUGCUAAGCUGUUGUCAAAGAAGAUUCCGGAAGCACGUGAUUCAGUUGUGAAGUCCAGGGAGCUGUACAUCCAGAGAAACUUGGACGUUGAUGCCACAUCUGAGUCGUUGUACUAGCGCCAUCCUCUGCUCGCUGUAUGCAUCUAGUCAUUUCCUUUCAGCAGAACCAGGAGUGGGAUUGUAAAUUCUCUGGCCAGUCUGAUCUUCAUCCUUCGAAAUGUUGACACUAAGCUCUCUGUACUGAUCUGCUUUCCCACCAAUGGCGCCCAAGUUCUACCCGCCUCUCACCAGUCAACAUUUACUACUUAAAAAAAAUAAUAGCAGUUUUGAAUGGGAUGAGAUUAUCAAGUAAAGGAAAUCAGAGGCAUACAAAUAGGAAGAGAAGGAAUUCAAUCACCUGUUAUGAAAUGACAUGAUGUAUAGACUUAAAAAAUCAGAACUCUACAAACUCCACCAAAAGACCCAGGUAAAGGAAUUCAGUGAAACUGGAGGAUAUAAAAAUCCUUCAUAAUCCAACAUAAAAGCCAGCCGUAUUUUAUACACUGAUAAUGAACUUCCUCGGAAGAUAUGAGAGGCAUUCUAUCUAUUCACAACUGCAGCAAAAGUAAGGUUAAAGAAGACAAGAUAAAUGCCCCGGGAUGAGCCAGGAGUGGCAGUGCAAAUCCCUAGUGCCUGCUACCUGGGAUGCCGAGAGGACAAGAUGGUGCAACCAUUCAGGGCCAGCAACACACGAAGCCCCAGAGGCUAGAAACAAAUUCAACCGAAGAAAUAACAUCAAGUCCUGAAGUGAAAAUUACAAACCACCGAUAACAGAAACCAAAGACGCCCUGUGUACACACAAGGGAAACCGCCGCGUAUGCCUGUGCACUGAGAAAAUGAAUGUAUUUAAAAUGUCUACACUACCCAAAGUAGUUUAUAGGUUUAAUGCAAUUUCCAUCCAAAUACCAAAGUCAUUCUUACAGAAAUAGGCGGAACACAGAUUCUAAAUUCAUUAAGUGCUCAGCAACCACUGACUAAAUGAUCGAUAAAUUUGCUCUUGUUAUACUCGUGUGUGUGUGUGUGUGGGGGUGUGUGUGUGUGCACGCGCGCGCGUGUUUUACUUGAUAUCUCAUCCCACUCAGAAUUGCUAUAAUAAAAAACAAGUAUUACUAUAAA
Molecule: non-coding RNA, 5674 nt
Organism: Rattus norvegicus (Norway rat)
Lineage: Eukaryota; Metazoa; Chordata; Mammalia; Rodentia; Muridae
Source: RefSeq, a predicted model, not a curated record